GACGUAGGGGGCAAACGUUGCUCGGAAUCACUGGGCUUAAAGAGCACGUAGGCGGUUCGCCCAGUCCGAUGUGAAAUCCCCCGGCUCAACCGGGGAAUUGCGUCGGAAACUGGCGGGCUAGAGGAUUGGAAGGGAGACGGGAACUCCUGGUGGAGCGGUGAAAUGCGUAGAUAUCAGGAGGAACACCGGUGGCGAAAGCGCGUCUCUGGCCAGUUCCUGACGCUGAGGUGCGAAAGCUAGGGGCGCAAACAGG
RNAcentral lists this ribosomal RNA (253 nucleotides) under uncultured bacterium. RNAcentral's name for it is "partial 16S ribosomal RNA". It matches the Rfam family "Bacterial small subunit ribosomal RNA", at positions 524 to 776 of the family's 1533-position model. The record is from RNAcentral.